CCUACGGGGGGCAGCAGUGGGGAAUAUUGCACAAUGGGGGAAACCCUGAUGCAGCGACGCCGCGUGAGUGAAGAAGUAUUUCGGUAUGUAAAGCUCUAUCAGCAGGGAAGAAGAAAGACGGUACCUGACUAAGAAGCCCCGGCUAACUACGUGCCAGCAGCCGCGGUAAUACGUAGGGGGCAAGCGUUAUCCGGAUUUACUGGGUGUAAAGGGAGCGUAGACGGCCUUGCAAGUCUGAAGUGGAAGCCCAGGGGCUAAACCUGGGACUGCUUUGGAAACUGUGGAGGUAGAGGUGUGGAGAGGGAAGUGGAAUUGCUAGUGGAGCCGGGAAAGGCGUAGGUAAUAGGGGGAAAACCAGGGGGGAAGGCGGCUUACUGGACAGUAACUGACGUUGAGGCUCGAAAGCGUGGGGAGCAAACAGGAUUAGAUACCCGGGUAGUC
Molecule: ribosomal RNA, 441 nt
Filed under: uncultured bacterium
Lineage: Bacteria
Description: partial 16S ribosomal RNA
Rfam family: Bacterial small subunit ribosomal RNA
Source: RNAcentral